Long non-coding RNA from Homo sapiens (human), 199 nucleotides. RefSeq lists it as uncharacterized. The record is from RefSeq and is a predicted model, not a curated record. Lineage: Eukaryota; Metazoa; Chordata; Mammalia; Primates; Hominidae. The transcript is spliced from 2 exons.
GCCUGCUUCUCCUUUGCCUUCCAGCAUGAUUAUGACAGUGAGGGCCCUGGAGAAUGACAGAUUUACAAGAUGGAGACAACCUGGAUCCCUGAGUGACUGCAUGGAGGAUAGCACCCCCACCAACUUGAGUACCCUGAUUUCUUGUUACCUGUGCGAGAAAUAACAUUCCAUCAUUAGAGUCAUUAAACAUUUGAGUCUA